Non-coding RNA from Mycena olivaceomarginata, 95 nucleotides. The record is from the annotation of a GenBank genome assembly. NCBI's taxonomy places the organism in Eukaryota, Fungi, Basidiomycota, Agaricomycetes, Agaricales, Mycenaceae.
UCUUGACUAGUAUAUCGGUUAGUACACGCGCUUGUCAUUCUAUGUAAUUCGUCAACCUUACGCGCGAAAGCUGGGUUCGACUCCCAGGUCGAGAG